CUCACACAAGAGGUUCUGCAAAUGAAGAUGCUGCUGUUGGUUUAGUUUACCAAAAGUCUUAGACAAAAAAUAGCAUAUUUCAGUAAACGUAAGUAAAGAUUACUGGUUGAAUUUCCUGAGACUAUUGAGAUUUUCUAAGAUUUCUUUUGGUUUAGAUUCUAGAAGGACAUUGCCACAACUUUGUUUAUAGUUCUAAUUUUUUUGGGGUCGGGGAUCAUAUGGUUGACUCAUCCCCUCCCCUUGCUGAGUUUUUCUUAGUUGGAACUACAACUUUAAGUUUGGUUUCAGCAUCCAUGCAACCCAGAUUUUCUAGAACGAGCCCAAAAAACAGGUUCUGAGAUGGCCUGGCUCACAACAGCUUAGUCUACAGCUUCCAGUCUGGUUCUGUUCAUUGACUGUAUAUGGGAACUGGACUGAGUGACCCCUUUCCCCCUGCGUUCUAAAUAGGAAGCACUCACUAGCUCCAAGAAGCCAAAAUCUCAUGGACUUCUAUUGAGUCAUUCUGUUUGUCAGAUUAGCCUACUUUAAGGAUAAACUGUUUUAAAGUUUCAACUUUUCUGGUUCCUAAACUGCUUUAGUCUACCUUACAGUAGAUGUUGAAAUCCGAACUUUGUGUUUAGGUGGUGGGGGAAACAUGGCAGCUUCUUGAACAUUGCCAUUUUGGAGUUAGAAUUCAUCGAGACAGACAAACGAGGAAAGAGGGACCAAAUGGACCUCCUCUGCUAAUUCAGUAUUUUAUCUGUUACAAAGUUCUGCUUGGUUUGGCUCAUACAAGCCUGAUUUCUGUAGGGACGUGCGCUUGGACAUGAACGGAAAAGUCAUCACUGCUGCCGCCAGGAUCAGUCACUCCAAAAGUGCCAGUAUGGUAUCAGAGGAGUCUGCAGGUUCCCAGUCUUGGACCUGUUUACCCAGCACAUCCGAUGUGGAACCUCCAUCUAUGAAGGUUAGUUCUUUUUUAGGGUUCAGGUCCAAAGAGGGCUUUUGAGUGCAGCAUCACAGACAGUUGGUCCAGACUCUUGUCCAUAGUCUAAGGCAAGUCUCUGUAUGGCCACAACAGGAGUUUGGUUCAUGUCCUGGCAGUAAAUUGACCCUGCCAUGCUCUUGGUUCAUGUGGUACUCUGGCAGGGAUGUUCUUUCUCACCAGUUCUGUUCACAAUUCUUAUGGACAGUUCUAGGGUCCACAAGAAGCCUGAUGGGAACUGGAGUAUUUGGUCCUACUAGUUUUUGAAGAGAAGGAAGUUUUGGAAUUUUGUUAAAUUCUUACUUGUAACCUGGCUGAAGUUAAGCAAUAGAGGAUGAAUGGAUGACAAACUUUGUUCUAUAGAGCAUUUCAACAACUACUGCUGAUCAAAGUGCUUUCAAAGAAAAUCAUAAUAAUUGAUACUUUAUAUAGUUAAACACUUAAAGAUGAAAUGACAAAUUAAAGCUAUUUAAACAUGACAUAUCUAUGAAGAAACAACACAGAAGGCCAAGAUUUUGAAAACUUUGGACAGGUCACUGAAAAAUAAAACCUCCCCCACUUAAAAUCUUGGGCAAAGGACCUCCAGCAGUGUUUUGUUAGCAGGGUUGACCAUUAACUGCCUUAAAAAGAUGNNNNNNNNNNUAAAUAAAUAAAUAAAUAAAUAAAUAAAUAAAUAAAUAAAUAAAUAAUGAAGUUGA
RNAcentral lists this long non-coding RNA (1659 nucleotides) under Oryzias sinensis (Chinese medaka). RNAcentral's name for it is "lncRNA (ENSOSIG00000023942.1)". Lineage: Eukaryota; Metazoa; Chordata; Actinopteri; Beloniformes; Adrianichthyidae. The record is from RNAcentral.